GUUGAACCUCAAUUUUGGGUAAUUUGAAAAUAGUAAACAAACCGCUAUCGGCCGUAAUGUUUUUAAUUGCGUGAAAAAAGUGUGAAUGCGAAAUUGGUCUCGUAUCAAACGAGAGAAACUAGAGGAUGUUGAACGAACCGGUAUCGUAAAAUUCUGCUGAAGGUAGUGAAUUGACCAGCCGAGACAUAGCUGCAAACAGCAACCAUCAACAUCCCGCGACACGCAUUCCCGUGAUUUUGUAAACAUAAAACAUGCAAACGCCACGCGGUCAAACACGUUACCAUACAAAUACUAGAGCCCUUAGCGAACAAACCUGGUCACACACGCGAACUGGCAAUCGCCAUCGACAGCCAAUUUAUCUCUGCAAGAUGAAUUACUCCGGCCUAUUCGAUAUCAAAGUUGAGCCUAGCGGCCCCAAAUUUAAUAAAAAUAUGUGGUGAUUUGAUGAUUUUUGAAAAAUAUAUUUAUGUUCACUUUUCUUCUAGGGAAGAACCACUAUGGAGCGGCAGCUCGUUCAGUGAGCCCUUUGCGCGACUUCCGAAGGGACAAGUAACCAGAUUGAUUUUGUCUACUGGGUAAUUUUACUCAUCUUGCUCGAUCAUCUUCACUGGUACUAAGGAUAGAACAGGAAAUUUUGAUGUGAUACCUACGUAAAGGUAAGCCACGGACUCAGCGACGCUUCCAUAAGUAUUACGGAGUUGGAUUGCAGAACAGGUAUUGUCUAGAAUUCGCCACAAACAGACAAUGCGACCACAAAAUGAAUAUGGUUUUAUGCGGUUGUUUGGUUAGUCUCCGAGCACGCGAAUAUUCAGAGCAAACCUAUAUUUGGGUGACGCCAAAUUGCGCUGGAUGAUCAUGCCAUCAAAGCACGACGAAUACGCAUGGAAACAACAUGUCAAUUAUAAAUAGUUUAACCGCUGAUGAGCAAUCAGGUGAUACGUUCGAUUAGCACGACAUGCAGUUCUGGUUAUUUUCCGUCGGCCUUUUUCCGCUCCGAGGCCAAGCACCGACACCAGAGAGGUAACGACUCCCACUAUCUGGACUAGAUAUCCACCCAUCAACUCAUGGACCGGGGACCAACGGCUUUACUUCCCUUCCGAAGGAUGCUGUGACCUCAGAUUUUUCUCAGAUUUCUCGACUGGGAUUGAACCCAGACCAACUGGGGUGAGAGGCGGUCACGCUUACCACCCAACCAUCGGCGACGUCCACUGAUGCCAAUGACACCACGCUUGGCUUCUUCCAGAUCCUUUUUCGAUUAUACUAACACGUGGCAAGACGCUGACAUACCCCUGAUAUAUCUACCAUUUCCAAACGAAAGUUCUAAUGGCUGCAUUAAUAAUUACAAUAAUACGUAUUCUAUUUCGUGUAACGUAUAAUUUGAGUUAAGCAUGAAUCAUCAAGUUUUGCGAUAGGAGCUAAAGCUUGAUUAUUUAACUUUUUCGCAUGCCAGUUUUCGAAAUAUUUUAGGAAUAAAAAAUGCUUUAACAUAAGAAUGUGCGAAUUAUGUCAAAUAGGAGAGUAGUGGUACAGAAAAAAUACAACAUGCAAUUAAACGGUAUCGAUCCAAAAUCAGAUCCAAAAUUCACUGUGUGUUAGUAUCAGGCCAAAUUAACAAAAAACAUUUAUAGGGAUAUGUGAUUAAAUUUAAUGAUAUUAAUGAAUUUAGUGUGA
Molecule: long non-coding RNA, 1671 nt
Organism: Topomyia yanbarensis
Lineage: Eukaryota; Metazoa; Arthropoda; Insecta; Diptera; Culicidae
Exons: 4
Source: RefSeq, a predicted model, not a curated record